GCCGGAAUUGCUAGUAAUGGCAGGUCAGCAUACUGCCGUGAAUACGUUCCCGGGCCCUUGUACACACCGCCCGUCACACCAUGAGAGUUGGGAAUACCCGAAGCCUGUGAGCUAACGCAAGAGGCAGCAGUCGAAGGUAGAAUCAAUGAUUGGGGUGAAGUCGUAACAAGGUAAC
Molecule: ribosomal RNA, 175 nt
Filed under: uncultured bacterium
Lineage: Bacteria
Description: partial 16S ribosomal RNA
Rfam family: Bacterial small subunit ribosomal RNA
Source: RNAcentral